Molecule: ribosomal RNA, 254 nt
Filed under: uncultured bacterium
Lineage: Bacteria
Description: partial 16S ribosomal RNA
Rfam family: Bacterial small subunit ribosomal RNA
Source: RNAcentral
UACAGAGGGUGCGAGCGUUGUUCGGAAUUACUGGGCGUAAAGCGCGCGCAGGCGGCCUUUUAAGUCUGACGGUGAAAUGCCGGGGCUCAACCCCGUGCCCGCCGGAGAUACUGGGAGGCUGGAGACGAGUAGAGGCAAGCGGAAUUCCGGGUGUAGCGGUGGAAUGCGUAGAGAUCCGGAAGAACACCGGAGGCGAAGGCGGUUCUCUGGGCAGUAACUGACGCUGAGGAGCGAAAGCGUGGGGAGCGAACAGG